Molecule: ribosomal RNA, 447 nt
Filed under: uncultured bacterium
Lineage: Bacteria
Description: partial 16S ribosomal RNA
Rfam family: Bacterial small subunit ribosomal RNA
Source: RNAcentral
AACGAACGCUGGCGGCAGGCUUAACACAUGCAAGUCGAGCGCCCCGCAUGGGGAGCGGCAGACGGGUGAGUAACGCGUGGGAAUCUACCGUGCCCUACGGAAUAGCUCCGGGAAACUGGACUUAAUACCGUAUACGCCCUUUGGGGGUAGGGUCUAUCGGGGUAUGAUGAGCCCGCGUUGGCUUAGCUAGUUGGAGGGCUAAAGGCCUACCAAGGCGACGAUCCAUAGCUGGUCUGAGAGGAUGAGCAGCCACAUUGGGACUGGGACAAGGCCGAAACUCCUACGGGUGGCAGCAGUGGGGAAUAUUGGACGAUGGGAGAAAGCCUGAGCCAGCCAUGCCGCGUGGGUGAUGAAGGCCCUAGGGUUGUAAAGCGCUUUCACCGGUGAAGAUAAUGACGGUGACCGGAGAAGAAGCCCCGGCUAACUUCGUGCCAGCCGCCGCGGUAA